UUUAAUUUACAUUUUUGAGUAUGCAAAAACAGUAACAUGGCUGAGAACUCAAAAACUAUAUAGAAAGGUAUACAUUUCCUUUCCUUCUGCUCUCUUCCCACCUACUCCCUAUAGGUAACCAUGAUCAUUGGUUUCUGAUGUAUCCUUCCCAUGUUUCUCUUUGCAAAAAUAAAUUAUUAAUAUAUUAUCUUCUUUUGUAUAUGAAAGAAGUAUACUAUGUAUAUUCUUGCAUCUUGCUUUUAUUCCAUUUUUUAUUUUAUUUUAUUAUUUUAUUUUAUUUUAUUGCUGUUGUUGAGACAGAGUCUCACUCUAUCACACCACUGCACUCCCACUGGGUGACAGAGUAAGACUGUCUCAAAGAAAAAAAAAAAGAUAUGCUACCUUAGAGUGAAUUGUUUCACUUUUUUAAAAAACUAACUUUGGUCAUUAGGUAUUUUAAGGGUCAUAAACUUUAAAAGCUAAUUCUUCUCUAUAAUUUAUGGCCUUAUAUGCCUUAGUUGGCAAAAUACAAAAUACACCUACAGCACACUAAAUUCUCUGGGGAACAAAUUCUGCACACUCUAGGCACUGAGAAAACAUACAUAGUGUAAUGGAAAUAAGCCUGGAUUAGAGCCAGGAUAGUCUUCUGGGAGAUACUUGCAGUCUGAAGUCACUUUAACUUCUCAACAUGAGGAGUUUUUUAGAUCAUCAGAGAGCACAAAUUUGGGCUCUGAAUACUCAAGAAAGGGCAAUGUAUAGUUAUGCAUUUGGAGAGGGGGGAUUUUUCUCCCUCCAAAGAGCACCAAGACUGAGAAAGACAGUUCCUUUUUUCAUCUUUUAGAGGUGAGGUUUUGGGGUUUUGUUUUUCUAGCCUAGCCUGUUCUUACAUAGUGUGUAGUCCUCUGUUCAAGGGACUCCUGUCAGCCUCCUCUCCUUGGCUGGGCCCCAGCCUUUGUCUUCUAGCCCCAGAGUCCCUUGUACCCUCAAAAUGGAAGUUUAAGGUCAUCAAACAUGAUUGAGGAGCUGUCUCAGGCAGUCAACUUCAACUAUUACUGACUUCUUGCCUUCCUGCUUGUACUUAAUUUUUGGCCUGUGAGGAUUUUGCUUUCUUGCCAGCUCAGAGAUAUAGUAAGUUGAAUCUACCUUUGGUUAGGGUACUUCAGGAAGUAGGUUAGUCACACUUCAGGAAAUGGAAACUUUGGUAAUUAACAAACAGAAUAGUAGUAUUGGUUUGAUGGCCAUUACUGUCUCAGAUCUUUUAUAGUUCUUUAUUAUAUUUUAUGGUUUAUUGUUCUUUAUACAGUACUUUGCCAUUCUUUGAGGUUCAAUUCAAAUCACACUUCCUCCACUGAAGCUUUCCUUGAUUACCUGAGUCAACAUUAAUCUCCUCUGUUUAGAAAUAUUAUACCACUGUUUGUCCUUAUUAACCAACAGAUAACACUUCUAACCAAUCCUUUCUGGUUUUAGUGAUAAACACAUAUUUAAACCCUGCUUAAUGAUCUGUUUCAGAAGUUUUAGUAAACUAAUUUGUUUAAAAUGUGCGUUUAUCGGUCGGGUGCAGUAGCUCAUGCCUGUAAUCUCAGCACUUUGGGAGGCUGAGGCGGGCGAUCACCUGAGGUCAGGAGUUCGAGACCAGCCUGACCAACAUGGAGAAACCCUGUCUCUACUAAAAAUACAAAAUUAGCCAGGCGUGGUGGCACAUGCCUGUAAUCUCAGCUACUCGGGAGGCUGAGGCAAGAGAAUCGCUUGAACUUGGGAGGCAGACGUUGUGGUGAGCCGAGAUCGCGCCAUUGCACUCCAGCCUGGGCAACAAAAGCGAAACUCCAUCUCAAAAAAAAAAAAAGUGCUUUUAUAGUAGCAAUUUAUUCAUGAUCACUAUUCAGCCUUGUCACUUUAAGUUUGUUAAUUAUAACUUUAGUACUUUUCAGUUGUAUGUACAAUCUGUCAUAGACUGAUACUGAUUGCAUAGAAGUUGAACUCAACUUCUGGUAUCAUCUCAUCUCUUUUUUGUGUAUAUACACACCUACUUGUAUAGUCCAUCCACAUUCUCAUUUUCUUCUGGGGAGGGGAAUAACAAAUCCUAGCUUGAGAAAGUUGGUUUAUAAAUUUUUUUCUUUCAUAAAAGUAAUAUAACUAUUUUCUAUUUUUCUUUUUUAUUACUUUUUAUUUUGCUACACCUACUGGAGUGGAAUAUAACUACUUACUAGUACUAAAUAGCAACAAAAGUAAUAUAGCAAAUUUACUGAAAAUUAGAAACCAGAAAACUUAUAAUAUCAUUAUUAGCAUUUUGGUAAUCUUUUUCCACUUCUGAUGUGUUUUCAUGCUUGUUAUGAUACUCUUUUUUCAUUUAACAUUACUCCUAAACAUUUUCUUAGGUAAACUGUGAUUUUGUAUUUGAAUAAAAGUAAAAAAAGUAAUUUGUAAAUUCAAGGAGUACAAGGAAGCAAAUAUUAAGUGUCCCUCUCCCCUCAGUCAUGACCAGGACCUUCUCCCCUUAGAUUUUGUGUGUGUGUGUGUGUGUGUGUGUGUCUGUGUCUGUCUGUAACACAAAUAGCAUAUCUUUACACAGCUAGGAUCUUGCUCUACAUUUUUUUAUACACCUGCUUUUUUUUUCACUUAAUGUGUCCUGCCACUAGUCCUUAAACUAGACCUACCUAUCAGUUAUCAAUAUUCUGUUAUCCCUUAUUCUAUUAAUAACUAGUCUCUUACUGAUGAUGUAGCUGUCAUUUUCAAUUACUGCAUAUUACUCAAUUGAAUGGAUAUAUUUGUAAAGGUAUUAUACUAUGAUCUGCCUCUUAGAAAGUUUCUGAAGUAUUUAGUACCAUUUUUGCUAUAUUAUAAAUUCCAUAUUUGAUUAAAUUACAUUAUGUAAUUCUUGAUAUUUGCAAGUUAUAUGUUUCCCACCUGGUUUCAAAGGAGAAAGAGGUUGUAACUUAAAUUUUGUGUUAAGUAAUUAUACGAGAAACGUAAUAAUAGGCACCAACAAAUACAUAUUUGGCUGCCUUAUUACAGCCAGGUUAGAUUGAGGGUCAACCUUUUUGGUUUGGUUUGGGGUGUGUGUGUGUGUGUGUGUGUGUGUGUGUGUGUGUGUGUUUGGUUAUGUGUAUGCAUGCACAUCUGUGUAUGCUUUCAUCUGAGUUCUCCUUUUUAAAUGUUAAUGUCAUUUAUUUUACCAUUUCAGUUGAGUCGCCACCAUAUCCAGAGUCUUGGGCCAUUUUCUAAACGAAAUGUGAAAGAAGGAUAAGCUAUUUCCAGAAUUUGCAUCUAGGUUGGAAAUAUAAGAAAUGUACAGAAUUGUGAAUUACAGUCAUGUGCUGCAUAAUGAUGUUUUGGUCAACAACAAACUGCAUGUAUGACAGUGGUCCCAUAAGACAACAAUGGAGCAUAUAUAGAAGCCUGAUGCAUAAGCACUUAAUAUUUGUAUUGCAGAUCAAGUAGGGGAAGUGAUUGAUAUCAGUAAUAGUGCUGGUACAUUUAGCUUUCCAUAUUUAAAAAAGGAAAAAAAUAUAUAUACAUAUAUAUCAUCUAGGUUCAUAUAAGUAUACUCUAUGAUGCUCACACAAUGAUGAAGUCGACCAACACCACAUUUCUCAGAACGUAUCCUCAUUGUUAAGAAAUCCAUGACUGUACUCAUAUAAAGCCAAAUUCUGUCAUGAGCCCAAUACUAUAUUGGGUUGAACCAUAUAAGGUUGCUGACAUUCAGCCAUUUUGACCUAUAAAAAAAGGCAAUUUCCUACAUAAUUCAACCUAAUCUGUGUUUUAUUUUAUUUUUUUGGAGACAGGAUCUUGCUCUGUCAUCCAGGCUAGAGUGCAGUGGGGCGAUCAUGGCUCACUGCAACCUCCGCCUACUGGGUUCAAGCAAUUCUCAUGCCUCAGCCUCCCAGGUAGCUGGGACUACAGGUGCACACCACCACAUCUGUCUAAAUUUUUAUAUUUUUAGUAGAGACAGCGUUUUGCCAUGAUGGCCAGGCUGCUCUCAAACUCCUGACCUGAAGUGAUCCACCCACCUUGGCCUCCCAAAGUGCUGGGAUUACAGGAGUAAGCCACAGAGCUUGGCCUCUAAUCUGUAUUUUAAAUUCAAAGAAGCAUUGUAGAGAGAAAUAUGAGCUGGACUAUAAACAUCUUUUUUAAUAGGUGGAGAAGGCAUCGUAAAAGAAGGCCUAGAGUCUAGGAUUAGCAUGGCAUCUAGAGAAGAUUAUGAAGAAGUAGUGGAUAACUUUAGGCCAGGUGUGGCGGCUCAUAUCUGUAACCCUAACACUUUGAGAGGCUGAGGCAGGCGGAUCACCUGAGGCCAGGAGUUUGAGGCCAGCCUGGCCAACAUGGUGAAACCAUGUCUCUAUUAAAAAUAGAAAUAUUAGCUGGGCAUGGUGGUUCCUGCCUGUAAUCCCAGUUACUCGGGAGUCUGAGGCACAAGAAUCACUUGAACCUGGGAGGCAGAGGUUGCAGUGAGCCAAGAUGGCACAGAGUCUGUCUCAAAAAAAAAAAAAAAAAAGUAGUGGAUAACUAAAUUAAGCUGAACAUGAGUUGUAGUAGGAGACAAUAGAAUAGAAAGGGCUGAAUUAUUUUGGGACUGAGUGCCAAGUGGAGGUAUUUUAAACUUUUUAACUUUUAUACUUUAAGCCACUAGUCCUUAAACUUUGGUAUGUAGCAAAACUGCUGGGUUUAAUAAAACAGAUUACUCAGCUCUACUGCCAGAGUUUCUGAUUCAGUAUGUCCAGGUGAGACCCAAUAAUGUUAACACAUUUCUAGAUGAUAGUGAUGCUUAUGCUGCUAUUGGGAGGACUGCCUUGAGAACCAUUGUUUUAGGCCAUGGGAGAUUUACUAGAGAUAUUUGAGCAUAGAAAGCACUCAGUGAAAUUGCUUUAGGAAUAUUAUGUGGGAUUGUGUGGAGCAGAUUGGAAGAGAGAGUGAUGAGAGUCAGCAUGUCUACUUUAUGAACACAUUACAUAAAUUAAUCCAUGAGGCCAUCCCAAGUUAUCCCACACAGUGUUAUCACUGUUUUGACUUCUCUUAGCUCUGUCACCUGACUUAAUCUGUUUUAUUCCCUCUGUGUCCAUGUUGAAUAUGAAGAACCUGUCUGUUUUCAACAACUUAGUCUCCCUUUUUUUGCCCUCUUUGUCUCCUUUCCCAAGUUUUAAAGACCAUGAUGAUGAGGUUUUCAGAGCUGUUGUCUUUGGGCAUUUUAUCUAUGUUUAUUCUUUUGUUUCUAUUUUGGCAGUUUCCUUUCUCCAAAUAAAUGAAGAUUUUUUAAUAUAUUUUUUAUUUCAGAAUGGGAAACUAAAGCCCAAGCAUGUACUCCAGUGGAGGAUAUGUCUAAACUCACAAAGGAAGAAACCCAUACCAUCAAAUUAGAAGACUCAUAUGACUACGAUGAUAGACUAGAGAGGCGAGGAAAAGGUGGCUUCUGGAAAAUUCACACUGAUGAAAGAGGUUUCAGUUUGAAGUCAGUCCUUUCACAAGAAUAUGAUCCUACAGAAGAAUGUCUUAGUAAAUAUGAUAUAUAUAGAAAUAAUUUUGAAAAGCAUUCAAACCUAAUUGUACAGUUUGAUACCCAAUUAGAUAAUAAAACUUCUGUGUAUAAUGA
Molecule: long non-coding RNA, 5563 nt
Filed under: Homo sapiens (human)
Lineage: Eukaryota; Metazoa; Chordata; Mammalia; Primates; Hominidae
Description: HSALNT0388799
Source: RNAcentral